UGAGGAAUAUUGGUCAAUGGACGAGAGUCUGAACCAGCCAAGUAGCGUGCAGGAUGACGGCCCUAUGGGUUGUAAACUGCUUUUGUUUGGGAAUAAUCGACAUUACGUGUAAUGUUUUGCAUGUACCAUUCGAAUAAGGACCGGCUAAUUCCGUGCCAGCAGCCGCGGUAAUACGGAAGGUCCAGGCGUUAUCCGGAUUUAUUGGGUUUAAAGGGAGUGUAGGCGGUUGGUUAAGCGUGUUGUGAAAUGUAAGAGCUCAACUUUUAGAUUGCAGCGCGAACUGGCAGACUUGAGUGCGCACAACGUAGGCGGAAUUCAUGGUGCAGCGGUGAAAUGCUUAGAUAUCAUGACGAACUCCGAUUGCGAAGGCAGCUUACGGGAGCGCAACUGACGCUAAAGCUCGAAGGUGCGGGUAUCGAACAGG
Molecule: ribosomal RNA, 424 nt
Filed under: Verrucomicrobiota bacterium
Lineage: Bacteria; Pseudomonadati; Verrucomicrobiota
Description: Verrucomicrobia bacterium partial 16S ribosomal RNA
Rfam family: Bacterial small subunit ribosomal RNA
Source: RNAcentral